RNAcentral lists this long non-coding RNA (2139 nucleotides) under Homo sapiens (human). RNAcentral describes it as "non-protein coding lnc-B4GALNT3-2:16". Lineage: Eukaryota; Metazoa; Chordata; Mammalia; Primates; Hominidae. The record is from RNAcentral.
AUUCCCCCGAGUCGGCCCGCGGGCUACGGCCGCCUGCGGAGCGCAGGAACCUUCACCUCCCGAGGACAGGCGCCUUCCCCUCGGGACCCGGCUCCCCUGCUGCCUGCGCCGCUCUGUCCCCCUGCCGCUGCCCAAGCCUCCAGCAGGGGCCACCGAGGGCUCCAGGAGCACCCCAGGCCCGUUCUUCUGGCCCACAGCGCCCCUCCUGUGACCCUCAGCGACCCUCCUGUCCUGCCCUCCGGCGGCGCGGCUGUCUGGAGACUCUGCACCGUCGCGGCCUCGCAGCCUCGCAGCCCCGCGCCGGGUGGGGAGGGGAGGGUGGCGUUCCUGAGUCCGCGGAGGAAAGGGUCGCAGCUGCAGUCGCGCCAGCCCUCGGGCCUACAUCCGCUCCGCCGCGACGCGGCUCACAAACUAGGGAGGGGAGAAGGGAAGAAAGACCCGAUUCGGGAACACGGCUUUGUCCCUGGAACUGUACCUCAUGUCCCCUCACUUAAUCCUCCCAAGACCUGUGGGGCGUGUCGUCAUUUUAGGGCUGGAGAUGAGGAAACCGAGGCUCGGAGAGAUGAAGCGUUGUACGGCCACCGAGCGGCUGCUUUGCAACGAAGCCAAAGCCAACGUUUUGUUCUUAGCGGCGGUCGUUUGAGCCACGCCUCACCGCAACGAGUCUGCCAUCAGCCAAGAGAUGGAGUGAAGGUACCUGAGCGCAGGAACCAUGGUCUUCAUUGCUGCCUCAGCAUUAGCGGAAGUGCCACGGGCCGGCUCCCAGGGGGCCAGAGUUUCCCAGGAACACCAUUGAGUACCACUGAACUAGAGUCUGCAAGUUAAAGUAAGGCAAGAAGGAAAACCGGAAACAACUGUAAAAACCUGACCUUUCGUCACCUUAAUACUGGCCAUCAUUUAUCGAGUGCUUAUUAUGUAACAGACAUUGUUCUCAGUGUGUGAGUGCAGUGUUCCUCAAACCUAAAUGUGGGCCUGAAUCGCAGCGGAUCUUGGUAAAAUGCAGUUUCUCAUUCAGUACCUCUGGGGUGCGGCCUGAGAUUCUGCAUUUCCAACAAGCUCCCAGGAUACUUUGUAUAGAAAGGCUUUGGUGUAUUAACUAACUCGAUCUUCUUAAUAAUCCUAUGAAAUACUACUGCUAUUCCCAUUUUACAGAUGAGGAAACAGAGGUUAAGCAUAUAUGAACUUACAUCAAAAUAAAUAGACUGCAGGGCAAGGAGGGAGGGGAGAAUAGUGUGGGCAGUGUACAGUGCAGAAACAAAGUUCUAGGCAGAGGAAAAAGGAUUUACAGAAAGCCUGGCAUACAGGGCAGGGGGACGGGGCCUGCACACGGGGCUGUUUCACCGUUAGACGUUAUAAGCACAGUACUUGGGGCUAUGGGCUUCCUGAAGGUCCCAAGUAUUUGAGACCUGAAAAAAAUUUAUUGACACCUACAUAGGAAAAGUGAACUUUUAAAUUAAUAAUUCCAAAAUUCAAAUCACGAAUUGUUUCAAAAAUUUUACAUGAUAGAAUUCAUAUUUAGUAAGCGAUACGGGUAUAUUUUAAUGCAUUUGAUUUUAAAAACGGGGUAGGGCCUACUAAGAACAGGCCAAGCCCUGGCCCCAGUGGGUUUGGAUAUAAUCCUGAGGGCAGCUGGGAACCACUGAGAGAAGCAGGAGAAUGUUCUCUGUGGCUACAGUGAGGAGAAUGGAUUGGAGGGAGGCCAGACUGGAGGCCCAGUGGCUAGAGACCAGAUAGGCAGUUACAGUCUUCCAGACUGCGAGACAAUCUCUCUUUAGUGCCAAGAUUAGCAUAAAAUCAUAGCAUUAUAUAACCCAAUUAUUCUUUGAUUCCUGCAUCCCCAAUCUGACUCAGCAUUCUAAAUUUACUUAAGAUCUGGGGACAAGGGUUUUUGGCAAAUCCUUGAAGGCAAAUGAUGUUACAGUCAAUCAGUAUAUGCCUUGAGCCAGACAGACAUGGGUACGGGCCUCAGUUCUGCUGCUUGCUAGCUAUGUGACUUUGCACAAGUGAUUUAACUUCUCUGGGCCUUGGAUUCCUUACUGGUAACACGAGCAUAAUCGAUUCCUCACAGAAUUAAGUGAGAAAACUAUGUAUGUAGGACUUCUUAUGGAGUGGGUACUUAGAAAUAAAUGGUAGCCGUUA